Molecule: ribosomal RNA, 512 nt
Filed under: uncultured bacterium
Lineage: Bacteria
Description: partial 16S ribosomal RNA
Rfam family: Bacterial small subunit ribosomal RNA
Source: RNAcentral
GAUGAACGCUGGCGGCGUGCCUAAUACAUGCAAGUCGAACGAAACUUCUUUAUCACCGAGUGCUUGCACUCACCGAUAAAGAGUUGAGUGGCGAACGGGUGAGUAACACGUGGGCAACCUGCCCAAAAGAGGGGGAUAACACUUGGAAACAGGUGCUAAUACCGCAUAACCAUAGUUACCGCAUGGUAACUAUGUAAAGGGUGGCUAUACUACCGCUUUUGGAUGGGCCCGCGGCGCAUUAGCUAGUUGGUAGGGUAAAGGCUUACCAAGGCAAUGAUGCGUAGCCGAAUUGAGAGGUUGAUCGGCCACAUUGGGACUGAGACACGGCCCAAACUCCUACGGGAGGCAGCAGUAGGGAAUCUUCCACAAUGGGCGAAAGCCUGAUGGAGCAACGCCGCGUGGGUGAAGAAGGUCUUCGGAUCGUAAAACCCUGUUGUUAGAGAAGAAAGUGCGUGAGAGUAACUGUUCACGUUUCGACGGUAUCUAACCAGAAAGCCACGGCUAACUACGUG